This 1524-nucleotide ribosomal RNA is filed under the name human gut metagenome. RNAcentral describes it as "bacterial LSU rRNA". It matches the Rfam family "Bacterial large subunit ribosomal RNA", at positions 445 to 1983 of the family's 2925-position model. The record is from RNAcentral.
AGCGGGGCCCAUCCCGUAAGGCUAAAUACUCCCGAGAGACCGAUAGCGAACCAGUACUGUGAAGGAAAGGUGAAAAGAACCUCGAACAGAGGAGUGAAACAGACCCUGAAACCAUGCGCCUACAAGCGGUCGGAGCAUGUUAAAAUGUGACGGCGUGCCUUUUGCAUAAUGAACCUACGAGUUACUCUCGCUGGCAAGGUUAAGCGAUUCAGUCGCGCAGCCGAAGCGAAAGCAAGUCCGAACAAGGCGUACAGUCAGCGGGAGUAGACGCGAAACCAAGUGAUCUACCCUUGGUCAGGUUGAAGGUUGGGUAACACCAACUGGAGGACCGCACCGAUAAGCGUUGAAAAGCUUACGGAUGAACUGAGGGUAGGAGUGAAAGGCCAAUCAAACUUGGAGAUAGCUCGUACUCCCCGAAAUGCAUUUAGGUGCAGCCUCGAAGCAGAGUGAUAGAGGUAGAGCGACUGAUAAGAUGCGAGGGCUUCACCGCCUAUCAAGUCUUGACAAACUCCGAAUACUAUCACUUGAUCUUCGGGAGUGAGGGCAUGGGUGCUAAGGUCCAUGUCCGAAAGAGGAACAACUCAGACCACCAGCUAAGGUCCCGAAAUAAGGGCUAAGUUGAAUAAACGAAGUAAAACUGCAAAGACAGCUAGGAUGUUGGCUUGGAAGCAGCCAUUCAUUUAAAGAGUGCGUAACAGCUCACUAGUCGAGGAGUUUUGCAUGGAUAAUAAUCGGGCAUAAGCCCUUUACCGAAGCUGUGGAUGUCGUAAGACAUGGUAGGGGAGCAUUCCGGCGGCGACGAAGGCCGUCCUCGAGGACGACUGGAGCUUUCGGAAAAGCAAAUGUAGGUAUAAGUAACGAUAAAGGGGGCGUGAAACCCCCUCGCCAUAAGACUAAGGAUUCCUGAUCAACGCUAAUCGGAUCAGGGUAAGUCGGGCCCUAAGGCGCAGCCGAACGGCGUAGCCGAUGGAAGAAACGGUAAAGAUUCCGUUACUGGAUAUAGGAGCGAUGUGGAGACGGAGAAGUGACACACCCGCCUGCCGACGGAAGCGCAGGUUAAAGGAAGUAGGUAAACGCCGGGUAGGCAAAUCCGCCUGGCGUGCCGAAGCUGACAGUAUCGAGAGCCCCCGGGCAAUCGAAUAGCGGUGGUAAUCAGGCUCCCAAGAAAAUCCGCUAAGCAUAUUCUAUAUCCACCCGUACCCCAAACGGACACACGUAGUCGGGUAGAAUAUACCAAGGCGCUCGAAAGACUCACGGUUAAGGAACUAGGCAAAUUGACCCUGUAACCUCGGGAAAAAGGGUCCCCAGUAAGAUGGGGCGCAGAGAAUAGGUCCAGGCAACUGUUUAACAAAAACACAGGGCUGUGCAAAAUUUCAAGAUGAAGUAUACAGCCUGACACCUGCCCGGUGCCGGAAGGUUAAGAGGAGAGCUUAUCGCAAGAGAAGGCUUGAAUUGAAGCCCCGGUAAACGGCGGCCGUAACUAUAACGGUCCUAAGGUAGCGAAAUUCCUUGUCGGGUAAGUUC